RNAcentral lists this ribosomal RNA (468 nucleotides) under uncultured bacterium. Its description in RNAcentral is "partial 16S ribosomal RNA". It matches the Rfam family "Bacterial small subunit ribosomal RNA", at positions 28 to 507 of the family's 1533-position model. The record is from RNAcentral.
GACGAACGCUGGCGGCGUGCUUAACACAUGCAAGUCGAACGGAAAGGCCCUGCUUUUGUGGGGUGCUCGAGUGGCGAACGGGUGAGUAACACGUGAGUAACCUGCCCUUGACUUUGGGAUAACUUCAGGAAACUGGGGCUAAUACCGGAUCGGAGCUCCUGCUGCAUGGUGGGGGUUGGAAAGUUUCGGCGGUUGGGGAUGGACUCGCGGCUUAUCAGCUUGUUGGUGGGGUAGUGGCUUACCAAGGCUUUGACGGGUAGCCGGCCUGAGAGGGUGACCGGCCACAUUGGGACUGAGAUACGGCCCAGACUCCUACGGGAGGCAGAAGUGGGGAAUAUUGCACAAUGGGCGGAAGCCUGAUGCAGCAACGCCGCGUGCGGGAUGACGGCCUUCGGGUUGUAAACCGCUUUCGCCUGUGACGAAGCGUGAGUGACGGUAAUGGGUAAAGAAGCACCGGCUAACUACGUG